This 464-nucleotide ribosomal RNA is filed under the name uncultured bacterium. RNAcentral's name for it is "partial 16S ribosomal RNA". It matches the Rfam family "Bacterial small subunit ribosomal RNA", at positions 28 to 507 of the family's 1533-position model. The record is from RNAcentral.
GACGAACGCUGGCGGCGUGCUUAACACAUGCAAGUCGAACGGAAAGGCCCCUUUUGGGGUACUCGAGUGGCGAACGGGUGAGUAACACGUGCGUAACCUGCCCUUGCCUUCGGGAUAACUUCAGGAAACUGGGGCUAAUACCGGAUAGGAAUCCUUUCUGCAUGGUGGGGGUUGGAAAGCUUCGGCGGUUUUGGAUGGACUCGCGGCUGAUCAGCUUGUUGGUGGGGUGGUGGCUUACCAAGGCUUUGACGGGUAGCCGGCAUGAGUGGGCGACCGGCCAAAGUGGGACUGAGUGAAGGACCAGCGGCCUACGGGAGGCAGAAGGGGGGAAGAGGGCAGAAGGCGCGGAAGCCGGAGGCAGCAACGCGGAGGGCGGGAUGAUGGACUGCGGGUUGUAAACCGCUUUCGCCUGGGACGAAGCGUGAGUGACGGUAAGGGGAAAAGAAGAACCGGCUAACUACGUG